RNAcentral lists this long non-coding RNA (228 nucleotides) under Elaeis guineensis (African oil palm). Its description in RNAcentral is "long non-coding RNA (EGUI_LNC019634)". Lineage: Eukaryota; Viridiplantae; Streptophyta; Magnoliopsida; Arecales; Arecaceae. The record is from RNAcentral.
GGUUUAAUCUCAUAAAUUGAAUUUUUGUUGAUAACUAUCAGAAUAUAAAAUCUUGAAUAUAUAGUUCUCCCACUAGAGAGAAGUAAAGCAGAAAUACUAGAAGAUGCAACAGCUAAUACAAUAUUUUUUUUAACUCUAACUGUAGCUAGAAUAGUCUUAUAAAUAUAAAAUUUUUUAGUGCCACCAUGUCUAUAUAUAAAAAAUAAACCAUCACUAUUAGCUGAGAUU